This is a long non-coding RNA of Oncorhynchus tshawytscha (Chinook salmon), 391 nucleotides long. The record is from Ensembl. Lineage: Eukaryota; Metazoa; Chordata; Actinopteri; Salmoniformes; Salmonidae.
GGGGAGUGGAGGGUGAAUGGAAAUCAGAGAGAGAAGGAGCGAUUGAAGGGUGGAGGGGAGGAAUGAUAACUACAGAGGAGGCGAGGGGGGAAGAGGAGGAGGAGAAGAAGAGGAGAGCAGGAUUAUGGAGGUUAUGGUAGUAGGUGCCAAGGGCACCAGGUUUGUGUCAAGAACUGCAACGUCGCAACAGUUUCCUGUGUGUAUCAAGAAUGGUCCACCAACCAAAGGACAUCCAGUCAACUUGACACAACUGUAAGAAGCAUUGGAGUCAUUAAUGGUUCUAAGUUGUGUAUCCCCACAAGGUUCUGGUAACAGCUCUAUGAGCAAUGACAUGCGCUGGCUACAUAACCAACAGACUACCCCUCGGUGUGCGUCGACACCAUGUGUGCCA